This 458-nucleotide ribosomal RNA is filed under the name uncultured bacterium. Its description in RNAcentral is "bacterial SSU rRNA". It matches the Rfam family "Bacterial small subunit ribosomal RNA", at positions 340 to 786 of the family's 1533-position model. The record is from RNAcentral.
UACGGAAGGCAGCAGUGGGGAAUAUUGCACAAUGGGCGCAAGCCUGAUGCAGCCAUGCCGCGUGUAUGAAGAAGGCCUUCGGGUUGUAAAGUACUUUCAGUCGUGAGGAAGGUGUUAAGGUUAAUAACCUUAGCAAUUGACGUUAGCGACAGAAGAAGCACCGGCUAACUCCGUGCCAGCAGCCGCGGUAAUACGGAGGGUGCGAGCGUUAAAUCGGAAUUACUGGGCGUAAAGGGCACGCAGGCGGUUAAUUAAGUUGGAUGUGAAAUCCCCGGGCUUAACCUGGGAAUGGCAUUCAAGACUGGUUAGCUAGAGUCUUGUAGAGGGGGUAGAAUUCCAUGUGUAGCGGUGAAAUGCGUAGAGAUGUGGAGGAAAUACCGGUGGCGAAAGGCGGCCCCUGGACAAAAGACUGACGCUCAUGUGCGAAAGCGUGGGGAGCAAAACAGGGAUUAGAUACC